RNAcentral lists this ribosomal RNA (482 nucleotides) under uncultured bacterium. RNAcentral's name for it is "partial 16S ribosomal RNA". It matches the Rfam family "Bacterial small subunit ribosomal RNA", at positions 30 to 507 of the family's 1533-position model. The record is from RNAcentral.
AUUGAACGCUGGCGGCAUGCCUUACACAUGCAAGUCGAACGGUAACGGGCCUUCGGGUGCCGACGAGUGGCGAACGGGUGAGUAAUACAUCGGAACGUGCCCGAUCGUGGGGGAUAACGAGGCGAAAGCUUUGCUAAUACCGCAUACGAUCUACGGAUGAAAGCAGGGGACCGCAAGGCCUUGCGCGGACGGAGCGGCCGAUGGCAGAUUAGGUAGUUGGUGGGAUAAAAGCUUACCAAGCCGACGAUCUGUAGCUGGUCUGAGAGGAUGAUCAGCCGCACUGGGACUGAGACACGGCCCAGACUCCUACGGGAGGCAGCAGUGGGGAAUUUUGGACAAUGGGCGCAAGCCUGAUCCAGCCAUGCCGCGUGCAGGAUGAAGGCCUUCGGGUUGUAAACUGCUUUUGUACGGAACGAAAAGCCUUCUUUUAAUACAGGAGGGUCAUGACGGUACCGUAAGAAUAAGCACCGGCUAACUACGUG